RNAcentral lists this ribosomal RNA (428 nucleotides) under Verrucomicrobiota bacterium. RNAcentral's name for it is "Verrucomicrobia bacterium partial 16S ribosomal RNA". It matches the Rfam family "Bacterial small subunit ribosomal RNA", at positions 355 to 776 of the family's 1533-position model. The record is from RNAcentral. Lineage: Bacteria; Pseudomonadati; Verrucomicrobiota.
UAGGGAAUCUUCCGCAAUGGACGAAAGUCUGACGGAGCAACGCCGCGUGAGUGAAGAAGGAUUUCGGUUCGUAAAACUCUGUUGUUAGGGAAGAAAAAAUGUAUAGUAACUAUAUACAAAAGAGACGGUACCUAACCAGAAAGCCACGGCUAACUACGUGCCAGCAGCCGCGGUAAUACGUAGGGGGCUAGCGUUGUCCGGAAUCACUGGGCGUAAAGGGUUCGCAGGCGGCAAUGCAAGUCAGAUGUAAAAGGCAAAGGCUCAACCUUUGUAAGCAUCUGAAACUGUAUAGCUUGAGAAGUGUAGAGGCAAGUGGAAUUUUUAGUGUAGCGGUGAAAUGCGUAGAUAUUAAAAAGAAUACCGGUGGCGAAGGCGACUUGCUGGGCACAAUCUGACGCUGAGGAACGAAAGCGUGGGGAGCAAACAGG